UACGCGUGAGAACCUGCCUCUAGGAUGGGGACAACAGUUGGAAACGACUGCUAAUACCCAAUAUGCGGAAACGUGAAAAUUAUUUUGCCUGGAGAGGGGCUCGCGUCCGAUUAGUUAGUUGGUGGUGUAAAGGACUACCAAGGCAGCGAUCGGUAGCUGGUCUGAGAGGAUGAGCAGCCACACUGGGACUGAGACACGGCCCAGACUCCUACGGGAGGCAGCAGUGGGGAAUUUUCCGCAAUGGGCGAAAGCCUGACGGAGCAAUACCGCGUGAGGGAAGAAGGCUUUUGGGUUGUAAACCUCUUUUAAUAAGGAAGAAGAAAGUGACGGUACUUAUUGAAUCAGCAUCGGCUAACUCCGUGCCAGCAGCCGCGGUAAUACGGAGGAUGCAAGCGUUAUCCGGAAUCAUUGGGCGUAAAGCGUCCGCAGGUGGUCAUUCAAGUCUGCCGUUAAAGACAGAAGCUCAACUUCUGAUAGGCGGUGGAAACUGGAUGACUAGAGUAUGGUAGGGGUUGAGGGAAUUCCCAGUGUAGCGGUGAAAUGCGUAGAUAUUGGGAAGAACACCAGUGGCGAAGGCGCUCAACUGGGCCAUAACUGACACUCAGGGACGAAAGCUAGGGUAGCGAAAGGGAUUAGAUACCCCUGUAGUCCUAGCUGUAAACGAUGAACACUAGGCGUUGCUUGUAUCGACCCGAGCAGU
RNAcentral lists this ribosomal RNA (700 nucleotides) under uncultured bacterium. RNAcentral's name for it is "bacterial SSU rRNA". It matches the Rfam family "Bacterial small subunit ribosomal RNA", at positions 112 to 844 of the family's 1533-position model. The record is from RNAcentral.